GAGACUCCCGCCGCCGCCGCCGCUGCUGCCGCCACCAGCAAGUCCAAUAUUAGCAGAUCGGCAAUAACGAUGGAGAGGAUGGUAAUCCCGGCGGUCGCCCUUCGGACGGCAGUCGACCGGGAGUUCAACCGCUUGCUAUGAUGUGCGCUGACCACCACGGGGUGGUGAGGAACAUGGCGGGCAUUGGCGAUGCAGUGCUGGCAGCGGGUGGCAGUGGAGGCGCUACCGGCCCCAGUGGGCCCCUGGACUGCAGCGGGAUGGUGGAGCAGGACACAGGAAAGCUACAUAUCUCAGCCUCCCUUUCGUUUAGGCUGCGUCCAUAUGACUGGAUCAGGAUCCCAGUGCAGUGGAGGUGAUGUGCUCCACUGUUGUAACCCCCCUCAGUGAUUGUCCAAGCUCUCCCUUCCCUUGAAAGCCUCGGGGGCCUGAAGUUUAGAAAGGAGACUGGAUCCCAGAGUCACCUCUUGGAGGAAAGCUACUGAGGAAAGUUACAUGAACUACAUUGGACU
Long non-coding RNA from Eptesicus fuscus (big brown bat), 509 nucleotides. RefSeq lists it as uncharacterized. Lineage: Eukaryota; Metazoa; Chordata; Mammalia; Chiroptera; Vespertilionidae. The transcript is spliced from 3 exons. The record is from RefSeq and is a predicted model, not a curated record.